This 207-nucleotide ribosomal RNA is filed under the name uncultured bacterium. RNAcentral describes it as "partial 16S ribosomal RNA". It matches the Rfam family "Bacterial small subunit ribosomal RNA", at positions 568 to 774 of the family's 1533-position model. The record is from RNAcentral.
UGCGUAGACGGCAUAUUAAGUCUGUUGUUAAAUUCUUCGGCUCAACUGAAGGUAUGCAAUGGAAACUGAUGUGCUCGAGGGUGAGAGAGAGAAGUGGAAUUCUCGGAGUAGCGGUAAAAUGCGUAGAUCUCGAGAGGAACACCAAUGGCGAAGGCAGCUUCUUGGCUCAUUUCUGACGUUGAGGCACGAAAGCGUGGGGAGCAAACA